Non-coding RNA from Mycena metata, 97 nucleotides. NCBI's taxonomy places the organism in Eukaryota, Fungi, Basidiomycota, Agaricomycetes, Agaricales, Mycenaceae. The record is from the annotation of a GenBank genome assembly.
GCCUUUGUGGAUUGUGGUGAUCAUCCAUUCCUUAUGAACAGUUUUCUGGAGAGUUGAAUGUAAAUGGACAGUGGGGGUUCGAUUCCCUCCGAGGGCU